GAUGAACGCUGGCGGCGUGCUUAACACAUGCAAGACGAACGGUGAAGCAGGAGCUUGCUCUUGUAGAUCAGUGGCGAACGGGUGAGUAACACGUGAGCAACCUGCCCCUGACUCUGGGAUAAGCGCUGGAAACGGCGUCUAAUACUGGAUAUGUGAUGUGACCGCAUGGUCUGCAUCUGGAAAGAAUUUCGGUUGGGGAUGGGCUCGCGGCCUAUCAGCUUGUUGGUGAGGUAAUGGCUCACAAAGGCGUCGACGGGUAGCCGGCCUGGGAGGGUGACCGGCCACACUGGGACUGAGACACGGCCCAGACUCCUACGGGAGGCAGCAGUGGGGAAUAUUGCACAAUGGGCGGAAGCCUGAUGCAGCAACGCCGCGUGAGGGAUGACGGCCUUCGGGUUGUAAACCUCUUUUAGCAGGGAAGAAGCGAAAGUGACGGUACCUGCAGAAAAAGCACCGGCUAACUACGUGCCAGCCGCCGCCGUAA
Molecule: ribosomal RNA, 484 nt
Filed under: uncultured bacterium
Lineage: Bacteria
Description: partial 16S ribosomal RNA
Rfam family: Bacterial small subunit ribosomal RNA
Source: RNAcentral